AUUGAACGCUGGCGGCAGGCUUAACACAUGCAAGUCGAGCGGGGUGAUGGUGCUUGCACUAUCACUUAGCGGCGGACGGGUGAGUAAUGCUUAGGAAUCUGCCUAUUAGUGGGGGACAACAUCUCGAAAGGGAUGCUAAUACCGCAUACGUCCUACGGGAGAAAGCAGGGGAUCACUUGUGACCUUGCGCUAAUAGAUGAGCCUAAGUCGGAUUAGCUAGUUGGUGGGGUAAAGGCCUACCAAGGCGACGAUCUGUAGCGGGUCUGAGAGGAGGAUCCGCCACACGGGGACUGAGACACGGCCCAGACUCCUACGGGAGGCAGCAGUGGGGAAUAUUGGACAAUGGGUGGAACCCUGAUCCAGCCAUGCCGCGUGUGUGAAGAAGGCCUUAUGGUUGUAAAGCACUUUAAGCGAGGAGGAGGCUCUUUUGGUUAAUACCCAAGAUGAGUGGACGUUACUCGCAGAAUAAGCACCGGCUAACUCUGUGCCAGCCGCCGCCGUAA
Molecule: ribosomal RNA, 503 nt
Filed under: uncultured bacterium
Lineage: Bacteria
Description: partial 16S ribosomal RNA
Rfam family: Bacterial small subunit ribosomal RNA
Source: RNAcentral